RNAcentral lists this long non-coding RNA (822 nucleotides) under Homo sapiens (human). RNAcentral's name for it is "non-protein coding lnc-FAM172A-12:1". Lineage: Eukaryota; Metazoa; Chordata; Mammalia; Primates; Hominidae. The record is from RNAcentral.
AGACUUGGUGUGGCUUGGGCCAUCAGCAUUUUGAGAAAAAGUUUUGCUACUAAACUUGCCCUUGCUAUUGUUUUGGAAGAUAAAGGGAAAAAUAAAAGGAUCUGAAGAAUAGGAGCUUAUUUCUUUAGACACCUAAAAUUGUGACAGAAAAGAUUAUUCUGUCCAAGUCAAUUCUCAGGUUGUGGUAGUAAUCAUAGGACUCUGCCAGGAAGAAAAAGAGAGUUAGCCCACUAUGGCCUAGAAAAACAUUGUUGCCUUCAAAUUCAUUAUUUUGAAGAUUGUAUAGCACAGUCUAGAUUGCAUGAAAAUUGAGAUUUUCCACUCAGUAGAUGAUCUUACAUAUAUUGUCCGAAACUCAGUCAACAACCCAAGACCUUUGUGAUUAUAAGCAAGUUUAAACUGGAUUCUAUGCAUUGGGAUAUUUUAUAUCUGAAAAUAUUUGCAUUAAUCCCAGUAGCUGCCCUGGAUGGAUUUGGAAAAUCACAGUAACUCAAGUGUGGCUGUGUGAAGUUAAGUGAAUGUGGCAAUAACUUUGCCAUAAAAAUUGAAGUUGGAAAUGAGUAUAAACAUUGACCAUUAAAUUUAGGAGAUAGUUUAUAAUUUGGUGAAUGAAAGUGCCUAUGAGGUGUUAAAACUGAAAGAAUGCAUAAAUGUUGUUAUUGAUGUAAGUGUGGCUUAGCUAAUUGAAGCCGCAUUUAAAACAAUUUCCAGGUUCAACUAGUAUCAAUAAUAAUGAAAGGUCUAUACGGCAUUGAGAAAAAUUCUUCUGAGCCUUUUUUGUGUUCUAAAUGCUCAAAGAUUAUCUUUUGUUAUUAACAGGAU